UAUCGACUGACCUAGCAGACUAAGCCAAGACGAUAGACUUAUUAAGGAGACUUAAUUAUG
RNAcentral lists this non-coding RNA (60 nucleotides) under unclassified sequences. The record is from RNAcentral.